AACGCUAGCUACAGGCUUAACACAUGCAAGUCGAGGGGUAGCAGGGUAGCAAUACCGCUGACGACCGGCGCACGGGUGAGUAACGCGUAUCCAACCUUCCCCAUAGUCAGGAAUAGCCCGGCGAAAGUCGAAUUAAUGCCUGAUGUUUUCCACGGACGGCAUCUGAUGUGGAACAAAGAUUCAUCGCUAUGGGAUGGGGAUGCGUCUGAUUAGCUUGUUGGCGGGGUAACGGCCCACCAAGGCAACGAUCAGUAGGGGUUCUGAGAGGAAGGUCCCCCACAUUGGAACCGAGACACGGUCCAAACUCCUACGGGAGGCAGCAGUGAGGAAUAUUGGUCAAUGGGCGGAAGCCUGAACCAGCCAAGUAGCGUGAGGGAUGACUGCCCUAUGGGUUGUAAACCUCUUUUAUAAGGGAAUAAAAUACGGGACGUGUCCUGUUUUGCAUGUACCUUAUGAAUAGGGACCGGCUAAUUCCGUGCCAGCAGCCGCGGUAAUACGGAAGGUCCGGGCGUUAUCCGGAUUUAUUGGGUUUAAAGGGAGCGCAGGCGGUCUUAUAAGCGUGACGUGAAAUGCAGCGGCUCAACCGUAUGAUGUGCGUCGCGAACUGUGAGACUUGAGUGUAUUCGAUGUCAGCGGAAUUUGUGGUGUAGCGGUGAAAUGCUUAGAUAUCACGAAGAACUCCGAUUG
Molecule: ribosomal RNA, 687 nt
Filed under: uncultured bacterium
Lineage: Bacteria
Description: bacterial SSU rRNA
Rfam family: Bacterial small subunit ribosomal RNA
Source: RNAcentral